RNAcentral lists this transfer RNA (76 nucleotides) under Blastocatellia bacterium AA13. RNAcentral's name for it is "tRNA-Lys". It matches the Rfam family "tRNA". Rfam says of the family: Transfer RNA (tRNA) molecules are approximately 80 nucleotides in length. Their secondary structure includes four short double-helical elements and three loops (D, anti-codon, and T loops). Lineage: Bacteria; Pseudomonadati; Acidobacteriota; Blastocatellia. The record is from RNAcentral.
GGGCCGUUAGCUCAGUUGGUAGAGCAGCUGACUCUUAAUCAGCGGGUCGCAGGUUCGAGCCCUGCACGGCUCAUCA